Molecule: ribosomal RNA, 305 nt
Filed under: uncultured Glomus
Lineage: Eukaryota; Fungi; Glomeromycota; Glomeromycetes; Glomerales; Glomeraceae
Description: partial 18S ribosomal RNA
Source: RNAcentral
CGUAAGGCGCCGAAUGAGUCAUUAAAAAAUUAACAUCAUCCGAUCCCUAGUCGGCAUAGUUUAUGGUUAAGACUACGACGGUAUCUGAUCGUCUUCGAUCCCCUAACUUUCGUUCUUGAUUAAUGAAAACAUCCUUGGCAAAUGCUUUCGCAGUAGUUAGUCUUCAAUAAAUCCAAAGAAUUUCACCUCUGACAAUUGAAUACUAAUGCCCCCAACUAUCCCUAUUAAUCAUUACGUCGAUCCUAAGAAACCAACAAAAUAGAAUCAAACGUCCUAUUUCGUUAUUCCAUGCUAAUGUAUUCAAG